Non-coding RNA from Pelobates cultripes (western spadefoot toad), 660 nucleotides. NCBI's taxonomy places the organism in Eukaryota, Metazoa, Chordata, Amphibia, Anura, Pelobatidae. The record is from the annotation of a GenBank genome assembly.
CACACACACAAUGCACCCCUUGCACACAGAAAAACACACAAUGCAUUACACACACACACACACACACACAAGCAAUUCAACCCUUACACACAAUGCAUCCCUUACACACACAGAAACACACAAUGCAUUCCUUACACACACUCAAUGCACCCCUUACAGAUGCACACACUGCAUCCCGUACAUACAUAGAAACACACAUUGCAGCCCUUACACAUACAAACACAGAUUCACACAAUGCAUUCCUUACACACAUAUCAGGACAUCCCCUACUCCUGUGAACAAACUAAUUGGUGGAACAUGAAGGUGGACCCUGGGGCCCAGACCUUGAGCUGUGUAAAGGGCCCCCAAAAAAUGGAGCUGCUUCCCGUUCUCCCAGAACACAAACAGCCUCCAGAGAGCCUGUUCUACACCAGACGAGUGGAGCCAGACUGCAGCUAGAGCCCAUCACCAUCCUCAUCUGAUUGUAAGUAGGCAAUCUAGUAUAUUAUUCGUGGCACUAAUCUCUAAUUUACCUCACAUUAAAGGGACAUUUUAGUCCCCAGAACCACUGCAGCUUAAUGUAGUGGUUCUGCUGUCUAUAGCCUGUCCCUGCAGGCCUUUUAAUGUAAACACGGCGGCACUGCAGCACUUGCGUUAGUUAACAUGGGGCAUUGUGAUGUC